Molecule: ribosomal RNA, 278 nt
Filed under: Salmonella enterica subsp. enterica serovar Worthington str. BCH-5715
Lineage: Bacteria; Pseudomonadati; Pseudomonadota; Gammaproteobacteria; Enterobacterales; Enterobacteriaceae
Description: partial 16S ribosomal RNA
Rfam family: Bacterial small subunit ribosomal RNA
Source: RNAcentral
GCCUGGGGAGUACGGCCGCAAGGUUAAAACUCAAAUGAAUUGACGGGGGCCCGCACAAGCGGUGGAGCAUGUGGUUUAAUUCGAUGCAACGCGAAGAACCUUACCUGGUCUUGACAUCCACGGAAGUUUUCAGAGAUGAGAAUGUGCCUUCGGGAACCGUGAGACAGGUGCUGCAUGGCUGUCGUCAGCUCGUGUUGUGAAAUGUUGGGUUAAGUCCCGCAACGAGCGCAACCCUUAUCCUUUGUUGCCAGCGGUUAGGCCGGGAACUCAAAGGAGAC